UUUAAGACCUUUAACUAGCAAAAUAUGCUUAAUGGAGGAGGAUUCGCCCUUACCGACCGAGCCAAUGCCGAUAAUCUUUCCUUUGUUAUUGUCUCCAAAGAUAACAUUUUCUCCUUCCGUGGGUUUUAGUUGAAGGAAUUUUGAUGCAUCCCCGGUCAUAUGUUUGGAGCAUCCACUAUCAAGGUACCAAAGUACACUUGAUCCCUUCAN
This 210-nucleotide long non-coding RNA is filed under the name Nicotiana benthamiana. Its description in RNAcentral is "long non-coding RNA (NBEN_LNC022156)". Lineage: Eukaryota; Viridiplantae; Streptophyta; Magnoliopsida; Solanales; Solanaceae. The record is from RNAcentral.